GUCUAGAACCCUGCAGUUGACUGAAGCCCAGAGAAUCUGCUGGAGCUCCCCUAGCGCAUAUGUUCUCUGUCUCAGAUUCCCCGUCUGAAAUAUAGAGUUCUCCACCAUAAUACAAGCAGCCAGGUUGAAGUCUGUAGAUCUGAGAAGAGCUCAAAGACACAGACCGGAAGAGAGGAGUGAAGGAGUGGUCACCAAAACAAAUGCUGAAAAAAAGAUCCAAUGUCUCCCAGGGGAAUCAGAUUCAACUUCUGCUUGCUUAUUAAGGAUCCACUGAGAGUGACUAGCUCAUCAUCAGUCCAGACAUCACCUUCUGUGCAAGCACUGGCUGACCAACUAUGCUGAACUAUGG
Mauremys mutica (yellowpond turtle) is the source of this 349-nucleotide long non-coding RNA. RefSeq lists it as uncharacterized. The record is from RefSeq and is a predicted model, not a curated record. Lineage: Eukaryota; Metazoa; Chordata; Testudines; Geoemydidae. The transcript has 4 exons.